RNAcentral lists this transfer RNA (75 nucleotides) under Clostridiales bacterium. Its description in RNAcentral is "tRNA-Met". It matches the Rfam family "tRNA". From Rfam's summary of the family: Transfer RNA (tRNA) molecules are approximately 80 nucleotides in length. Lineage: Bacteria; Bacillati; Bacillota; Clostridia; Eubacteriales. The record is from RNAcentral.
UGCGGGGUAUAUCAAAGGCAGAUUCCCGGGUUCAUACCCCGGUGGUUGUCGGUUCGAGUCCGGCCCCCGCUACCA